This 920-nucleotide ribosomal RNA is filed under the name uncultured Gammaproteobacteria bacterium. Its description in RNAcentral is "bacterial SSU rRNA". It matches the Rfam family "Bacterial small subunit ribosomal RNA", at positions 480 to 1398 of the family's 1533-position model. Lineage: Bacteria; Pseudomonadati; Pseudomonadota; Gammaproteobacteria. The record is from RNAcentral.
UCACGAAUAAGCACCGGCUAACUCCGUGCCAGCAGCCGCGGUAAUACGGAGGGUGCGAGCGUUAAUCGGAAUUACUGGGCGUAAAGGGUACGUAGGCGGUUAAAUAAGUUGGAUGUGAAAGCCCUGGGCUCAACCUAGGAACCGCAUUCAAAACUGUUUAACUAGAGUGUAUAAGAGGUUAGCGGAAUUCCAGGUGUAGCAGUGAAAUGCGUAGAUAUCUGGAGGAACAUCAGUGGCGAAGGCGGCUAACUGGUAUAACACUGACGCUGAGGUACGAAAGCGUGGGGAGCAAACGGGAUUAGAUACCCCGGUAGUCCACGCCCUAAACGAUGAGAACUAGCUGUUGGAUGCGUAAAUGCAUUCAGUAGCGAAGCUAACGCGUUAAGUUCUCCGCCUGGGGAGUACGACCGCAAGGUUGAAACUCAAAGGAAUUGACGGGGGCCCGCACAAGCGGUGGAGCAUGUGGUUUAAUUCGAUGCAACGCGAAGAACCUUACCAUCCCUUGACAUCCUCAGAAUUUGUCGUAAUGACUUAGUGCCUUCGGGAACUGAGUGACAGGUGCUGCACGGCUGUCGUCAGCUCGUGUCGUGAGAUGUUGGGUUAAGUCCCGCAACGAGCGCAACCCCUAUCCUUAUUUGCCAGCACGUUAUGGUGGGAACUCUAAGGAGACUGCCGGUGAUAAGCCGGAGGAAGGUGGGGACGACGUCAAGUCAUCAUGGCCCUUACGGGAUGGGCUACACACGUGCUACAAUGGUGCAUACAGAGGGUUGCCAACCAGCGAUGGGGAGCUAAUCCCAGAAAGUGCAUCUUAGUCCGGAUCGCAGUCUGCAACUCGACUGCGUGAAGUUGGAAUCGCUAGUAAUCGCGAAUCAGCAACGUCGCGGUGAAUACGUUCCCGGGCCUUGUACUCACCGCCCGUC